Molecule: ribosomal RNA, 503 nt
Filed under: uncultured bacterium
Lineage: Bacteria
Description: partial 16S ribosomal RNA
Rfam family: Bacterial small subunit ribosomal RNA
Source: RNAcentral
AUUGAACGCUGGCGGCAGGCUUAACACAUGCAAGUCGAGCGGGGUGAUGGUGCUUGCACUAUCACUUAGCGGCGGACGGGUGAGUAAUGCUUAGGAAUCUGCCUAUUAGUGGGGGACAACAUCGCGAAAGGGAUGCUAAUACCGCCUACGUCCUACGGGAGAAAGCAGGGGAUCACUUGUGACCUUGCGCUAAUCGAUGAGCCUAAGUCGGAUUAGCUAGUUGGUGGGGUAAAGGCCUACCAAGGCGACGAUCUGUAGCGGGUCGGAGAGGAUGAUCCGCCACACUGGGAGUGAGACACGGCCCAGACUCCUACGGGAGGCAGCAGUGGGGAAUAUUGGACAAUGGGGGGAACCCUGAUCCAGCCAUGCCGCGUGUGUGAAGAAGGCCUUAUGGUUGUAAAGCACUUUAAGCGAGGAGGAGGCUCUUUUGGUUAAUACCCAAGAUGAGUGGACGUUACUCGCAGAAUAAGCACCGGCUAACUCUGUGCCAGCCGCCGCCGUAA